GAGGAAUAUUGGUCAAUGGGCGAGAGCCUGAACCAGCCAAGUCGCGUGAAGGAAGAAGGAUCUAUGGUUCGUAAACUUCUUUUUUAGGGGAAUAAAGUGCGGUACGUGUACCGUUUUGUAUGUACCCUACGAAUAAGGAUCGGCUAACUCCGUGCCAGCAGCCGCGGUAAUACGGAGGAUCCAAGCGUUAUCCGGAUUUAUUGGGUUUAAAGGGUGCGUAGGCGGACGUUUAAGUCAGUGGUGAAAGUUUGCAGCUCAACUGUAAAAUUGCCAUUGAAACUGAAUGUCUUGAGUGUAAAUGAGGUAGGCGGAAUGUGUUGUGUAGCGGUGAAAUGCUUAGAUAUGACACAGAACACCGAUUGCGAAGGCAGCUUACUAAGAUACAACUGACGCUGAGGCACGAAAGCGUGGGGAUCGAAC
This 420-nucleotide ribosomal RNA is filed under the name uncultured bacterium. RNAcentral describes it as "bacterial SSU rRNA". It matches the Rfam family "Bacterial small subunit ribosomal RNA", at positions 356 to 773 of the family's 1533-position model. The record is from RNAcentral.